UACGGAGGAUGCAAGCGUUAUCCGGAUUCAUUGGGUUUAAAGGGUGCGUAGGCGGGAUGAUAAGUCAGAGGUGAAAGCCAGCAGCUCAACUGUUGAACUGCCUUUGAUACUGUCGUUCUUGAAUAUGGUUGGAGUGGGCGGAAUGUGACAUGUAGCGGUGAAAUGCUUAGAUAUGUCACAGAACACCGAUCGCGAAGGCAGCUCACUAAGCCAUCAUUGACGCUGAUGCACGAAAGCGUGGGGAGCAAACAGG
Molecule: ribosomal RNA, 253 nt
Filed under: uncultured bacterium
Lineage: Bacteria
Description: partial 16S ribosomal RNA
Rfam family: Bacterial small subunit ribosomal RNA
Source: RNAcentral